UAAAAUCAGCAAGCUCGAUUAGCAAAUUACUCCUGUAGUCUUAAGUCGAGAAAUAAUGAAGGGCUAAAUCUUCGCAAUUUCACCUGUUUUCAAAUCCACUUAACAUUAAAAAAAACACAAAGAAAGUAAUACAUCUUAAAAUCCUUCAUUUAUAAAAUUGAUUACAAAUGUAAUUAAUUAAAAUAACAAUACGAAUAUAGUGCCAUACAUGAUUAUUUCCUAAUGACUGAAAUUUGGAAAACAAAUCUGCUUUAAUAAAUUCAUCCUAUACUCGGGGUCAAAUAAUAAUGAAGUCACAAAUCUUCUUAUAACCAUUGUAGCAUUUCAAUCAGAUUUCUAUAAAUGGGAUCAAUCAAUAAUGAAGUCACAAAUCUGAUUUAGUAAAUUCAUCCUAUACUCGAG
This 402-nucleotide long non-coding RNA is filed under the name Gossypium barbadense (sea-island cotton). RNAcentral's name for it is "long non-coding RNA (GBAR_LNC007575)". The record is from RNAcentral. Lineage: Eukaryota; Viridiplantae; Streptophyta; Magnoliopsida; Malvales; Malvaceae.